UUUGGUCAUAAUAAAGUGGGAAACAUACUCCAUUUUUCCCAUAAAAGUUUCCAAAAUAAUCCACUGAAGGGGAAGACAAUGACCAGGAACUUCUCCAAAGUCAAGUAGGUCAGUAGCAGAACAGAGACUUCGGUGGACAGCAUGGCCAGGAACCCCAUGAGGCGGCACUGCACGCUCUCCAUCCACAGCAAGGCAUACUUCUGAUACUGCCCUCGGU
This 217-nucleotide long non-coding RNA is filed under the name Homo sapiens (human). RNAcentral's name for it is "HSALNT0199596". Lineage: Eukaryota; Metazoa; Chordata; Mammalia; Primates; Hominidae. The record is from RNAcentral.